Molecule: transfer RNA, 78 nt
Filed under: Aeropyrum sp.
Lineage: Archaea; Thermoproteati; Thermoproteota; Thermoprotei; Acidilobales; Acidilobaceae
Also listed under: 2 other names
Description: tRNA-Val
Rfam family: tRNA
About the family: Transfer RNA (tRNA) molecules are approximately 80 nucleotides in length. Their secondary structure includes four short double-helical elements and three loops (D, anti-codon, and T loops). Further hydrogen bonds mediate the characteristic L-shaped molecular structure. tRNAs have two regions of fundamental functional importance: the anti-codon, which is responsible for specific mRNA codon recognition, and the 3' end, to which the tRNAs corresponding amino acid is attached (by aminoacyl-tRNA synthetases). tRNAs cope with the degeneracy of the genetic code in two manners: having more than one tRNA (with a specific anti-codon) for a particular amino acid; and 'wobble' base-pairing, i.e. permitting non-standard base-pairing at the 3rd anti-codon position.
Source: RNAcentral
GGGCCCGUCGUCUAGCCUGGAUAGGACGCCGCCCUGACGCGGCGGAGGUCCGGGGUUCAAAUCCCCGCGGGCCCACCA